This 581-nucleotide long non-coding RNA is filed under the name Sparus aurata (gilthead seabream). RNAcentral's name for it is "lncRNA (ENSSAUG00010019522.1)". The record is from RNAcentral. Lineage: Eukaryota; Metazoa; Chordata; Actinopteri; Spariformes; Sparidae.
GGAAGAAGUUAGUCGCCAUCUUGGAUCAUCGGCUAACAUAAUUAUUGACUGAAGUGAGUUUGUAACAUGUUUGGCUGCGCUCCAACAGCGUUAUCGUGUUUACACACAGCUUUCCUUUAGGUUUCAUGUCUCAGACUAUCACUGCAAAGUUUAUCUGACCUCUGAUUUGGCUGAGUGGAUUUUCGUCAAGGAGCACAUCGCUGGAAAGAUGCCAGUGAAGUUUCGCAAGACAGCUAAAAGGACAGACUGGAGAGCUCUGAGUGUACUGGGUUAAAGGCCAGAGUCAUUGUCAGCCCGUAUGAGAUUUGUUGAAUUUUUGACUCAGUAACCACAACUGCAGAGAAGAGAUGUACUGCUUCAGCUGCAGAUGAAGACAUUUUGUCAUUGUUUUGGAAAUGUGAAAAAUUGUGUCCUGCUGGGAAGCCUAUAUUUUUUUAACAACCAAACAUAACAGUGGUCUCUUGUUGGCAAUUGGGCCAAACCUAUCCACCUUGGUUUUUCAAACAAAUCAGGAUAAUUAUGAAGAACAGGUUUUAGGUUGAAAUUCCUUGAAAAAUAAACCAUUCUUGACUGAAAGAAUA